RNAcentral lists this unclassified non-coding RNA (344 nucleotides) under uncultured fungus. RNAcentral describes it as "sequence contains ITS1". Lineage: Eukaryota; Fungi. The record is from RNAcentral.
GUAUAUUGAUUAUUUUCCAACCCAACCACCACAAAUCAAUGGCAUUGAGAAUAUCAUCUAUCAGGCAAACACUUUUUGCUGAAUAAUCAAGCCAUUCACACCACCAAGCCAAAUUUCUCUGAUAAUUGUUGUCGUGAUCGUUUGGAUGAAGCUGCAGGAAAAGAGCAGCGCGAGGGAAAAAAAAGCCAAGAGACUUCCAGAGAGCGUUGCAGAGUAUGCAACCCCCUAAAAACCUAGAGACUUUUUCCCCCCACACACGCACUCUCCCCCCACAGCUUUUGGUUGUGAGCGAACUCACAAGACUUUUUCCUAUGAUGAUCCCUCCGCAGGUUCACCUACGGAGA